This 1075-nucleotide ribosomal RNA is filed under the name uncultured bacterium. RNAcentral's name for it is "SSU rRNA". It matches the Rfam family "Bacterial small subunit ribosomal RNA", at positions 336 to 1417 of the family's 1533-position model. The record is from RNAcentral.
CUCCUACGGGAGGCAGCAGUAGGGAAUUUUCGACAAUGGGGGAAACCCUGAUCGAGCAACGCCGCGUGAAUGAUUAGAUACCUAAGGUAUAUAAAAUUCUUUUAUUUGGGAAGAAACAGCUGUGGAAAAACAGCUCUGACGGUACCUUUUGAAUAAGCUCCGGCUAACUAUGUGCCAGCAGCCGCGGUAAUACAUAGGGAGCGAGCGUUAUCCGGAUUUAUUGGGCGUAAAGGGUGCGUAGACGGUUUAACAAGUCUUUGGUUUAAGUGCAAGGCUCAACCUUGUGAUGCUUUAGAAACUGUUAGACUCGAGAGAGAUAGAGGUAAGUGGAAUUCCUUGUGUAGUGGUAAAAUGCACAGAUAUAAGGAGGAACACCAGUGGCGAAGGCGGCUUACUAGGUCUUUUCUGACGUUGRGGCACGAAAGCGUGGGGAGCAAACAGGAUUAGAUACCCUGGUAGUCCACGCCGUAAACGAUGAGUACUAGAUGUUGGAUAUAUUCAGCGUCGUAGUUAACACGAUAAGUACUCCGCCUGAGUAGUACGUGCGCAAGCAUGAAACUCAAAGGAAUUGACGGGACCCUGCACAAGCGGUGGAUCAUGUUGUUUAAUUCGUCGAUACCCGAAAAACCUUACCAAGCCUUGACAUAUAACUAUUUAAAGCUGUGGAAACACAGUGGCCGAAAGGAAGUUAUACAGGUGGYGCAUGGUUGUCGUCAGCUCGUGUCGUGAGAUGUUAGGUUAAGUCCUGCAACGAGCGCAACCCUCGUGUUUAGUUGCUACAUUAAGGUGAGCACUCUAAACAGACUGCUCGGGUUAACCGAGAGGAAGGUGGGGAUGACGUCAAAUCAUCAUGCCCCUUAAGGCUUGGGCUACAAACGUGAUACAAUGGCUACUACAAAGAGAUGCAAUAUAGCAAUAUGGAGCGGAUCUCAAAAAGUAGUCUCAGUUCAGAUUGGAGUCUGCAACUCGACUCCAUGAAGUCGGAAUCGCUAGUAAUCGCAAAUCAGAAUGUUGCGGUGAAAUACGUUUCUCAGGGUUUGUACACACCGCCCCGUCACGCCAUGAAAGUCCCGCC